GGAUAACGGGUCAAGAUAAGGCAAGGUCACAAAUACACUUAUUGGAGCACUCAAGGUAAGUGAUUUCUAUAAUCACUUCUUAUUUUAUUUAAGUAAAGUAGCGUUAGUUGAUUAAGCAUGAUGGGACCGAAUGGGACAAUAUAAAGUUGUAAUGCUAUGACGAAUAAUGUCUAUGUAAUGGCUACGGUAUGUAACCGGGUAAUGGGUAAAAUUGCACAUAAGU
Molecule: long non-coding RNA, 223 nt
Filed under: Helianthus annuus (common sunflower)
Lineage: Eukaryota; Viridiplantae; Streptophyta; Magnoliopsida; Asterales; Asteraceae
Description: sRNA HanXRQr2_Chr15g0678371
Source: RNAcentral